CAAAAGGCACAACCCUCCUCAAACACACAUCCAUCCUCCGGCACACACCCAGUCCAUGCCUCGCCCCCACACACACCUGACACCCCAGUGCAACACCACACCCACCCUCCCCUCCCUGCAAACUCCCACCUCCGCCCACCUGCUUAAUACACAUUCUCACCCCCCACACACUCCUUAAUACAUACUCUCACACCCACAAGCCUGCCUUCUUGGAGAAGUGAGCCGAGCCGUGCAGCGCCGCGAAGGGGUAAGUUGCAAGCACUGGGGGCAGCCUGUUCUGGGAGGUGAGAAGGAGGGCGGCUCCGUGCACUCACUCGCUAGGCGGUGGCGUUAGAGCUCCCGGGGCUCCGCAGACCGAUUUAGCUCGGCUGGGGAGGGAGGUGGAGAUGGGGACUGGGGGUGGGGGACGCAGGAGAGGGUAGAAUCCAGCCCCACAAGCGGCGGCGAUGCUAAUCAGGCCGCUAAGAUGGAAAAGCAUCCCCGAAGACCGGGAGGAACGCCGCGGGGACCUGUGGCUUAGCGCGCUCCGCCCGGGCUUGUCUGCCCGCGGGGGCGCAGCGGCUGAGGCGGCUCCGGGCCGGAGUUCCAAUCAAGCGCCACCCAACUCCCAGUCGGGGGCCGAGGCCAGCGCCGGGAUGCCAGCUUCCCCCAAAAAGAUCCUGCCUCAGGGAAAUGCAUGGAGCCGGCGGAAAAGCCCGCGGCGCCCCCGGCGGAUCGCAGACCCUAAGGGGGCGGGAGGUGGCGCCCCAGUCCCAACCUCUUGAGCCAACCCAGUGGGUGGGAAGUGCCCUUACCCUAGGCCUUCCGCAAAGUGUUCUCUCCUUGUAUUAUUCUAAUUACGGUAUUUUUAAUUUCCUUAAAAAAAUAAGAAACAGAAAAGCACAGAACGCA
RNAcentral lists this long non-coding RNA (891 nucleotides) under Homo sapiens (human). RNAcentral describes it as "HSALNT0358377". Lineage: Eukaryota; Metazoa; Chordata; Mammalia; Primates; Hominidae. The record is from RNAcentral.